Molecule: signal recognition particle RNA, 295 nt
Filed under: Macaca mulatta (Rhesus monkey)
Lineage: Eukaryota; Metazoa; Chordata; Mammalia; Primates; Cercopithecidae
Description: Metazoan signal recognition particle RNA (ENSMMUG00000059780.1)
Rfam family: Metazoan signal recognition particle RNA (bases 1-148)
About the family: The signal recognition particle (SRP) is a universally conserved ribonucleoprotein. It is involved in the co-translational targeting of proteins to membranes. The eukaryotic SRP consists of a 300-nucleotide 7S RNA and six proteins: SRPs 72, 68, 54, 19, 14, and 9.
Source: RNAcentral
GCCGGGCGAGGUGGCGGGCGCCUGUAGUCCCAGCUACUCGGGAGGCUGAGGCAGGAGAAUGGCGUGAACCCGGGAGGCGGAGCUUGCAGUGAGCCGAGAUCCGGCCACUGCACUCCAGCCUGGGUGACAGAGCCAGACUCUGUCUCACAAAAAAAAAAAAAAAAAAAGAGUCUGACGUGUUUUUUUUUUUUUUUAAGACAGAGUCUCACUCUGUUGCCCAGGCUGGAGUGCGGUGGCACGAUCUCGACUCACUGCAGCCUCCACCUCCCGGGUUCAAGUGAUUUUCCUGCCUCAG